Molecule: ribosomal RNA, 439 nt
Filed under: uncultured bacterium
Lineage: Bacteria
Description: partial 16S ribosomal RNA
Rfam family: Bacterial small subunit ribosomal RNA
Source: RNAcentral
CUACGGGGUGCUGCAGUGAGGAAUAUUGCACAAUGGGGGGAACCCUGAUGCAGCAACGCCGCGUGGAGGAUGACGCAUUUCGGUGUGUAAACUCCUUUUAUAUGUCAAGAAAAUGACGGUAGCAUAUGAAUAAGCACCGGCUAACUCCGUGCCAGCAGCCGCGGUAAUACGGAGGGUGCAAGCGUUACUCGGAAUCACUGGGCGUAAAGGACGCGUAGGCGGGCUUGUAAGUCAGGUGUGAAAUCCUACAGCUUAACUGUAGAACUGCACUUGAAACUACGAGCCUAGAGUAUGGGAGGGGCAGAUGGAAUUAGUGGUGUAGGGGUAAAAUCCGUAGAUAUCACUAGGAAUACCUAAAGCGAAGGCGAUCUGCUGGAACAUAACUGACGCUAAGGCGUGAAAGCGUGGGGAGCAAACAGGAUUAGAUACCCUCGUAGUC